UUGGAGGGCAAGUCUGGUGCCAGCAGCCGCGGUAAUUCCAGCUCCAAUAGCGUAUAUUAAAGUUGUUGCAGUUAAAAAGCUCGUAGUUGAAUUUGGGUCUGGCCGGGCGGUCCGCCCUCCGGGUGAGCACUGUUCCGACGCCGGGCCUAUCCUUCUGGUGAGUCGGCAUGUCCUUUGUUGGGUGUGUCGGGGAACCAGGACCAUUACCUUGAAAAAAUUAGAGUGUUCAAAGCAGGCGUAUGCUCGGAUACAUUAGCAUGGAAUAAUGAAAUAGGACGCGUGGUGCUAUUUUGUUGGUUUCUGGAGCCGCCGUAAUGAUUAAUAGGGAUAGUUGGGGGCAUUAGUAUUCAAUUGUCAGAGGUGAAAUUCUUGGAUUUAUUGAAGACUAACUUCUGCGAAAGCAUUUGCCAAGGAUGUUUUCAUUAAUCAAGAACGAAAGUUAGGGGAUCGAAGACGAUCAGAUACCGUCGUAGUCUUAACCAUAAACUAUGCCGACUAGGAAUCGGGCGAUGUUAUUCUCAUGACUCGCCCGGCGCCUUAUGGGAAACCAAAGUGUUUGGGUUC
RNAcentral lists this ribosomal RNA (564 nucleotides) under uncultured Glomeromycotina. Its description in RNAcentral is "SSU rRNA". It matches the Rfam family "Eukaryotic small subunit ribosomal RNA", at positions 548 to 1114 of the family's 1831-position model. The record is from RNAcentral. Lineage: Eukaryota; Fungi; Glomeromycota.